This 253-nucleotide ribosomal RNA is filed under the name uncultured bacterium. Its description in RNAcentral is "partial 16S ribosomal RNA". It matches the Rfam family "Bacterial small subunit ribosomal RNA", at positions 524 to 776 of the family's 1533-position model. The record is from RNAcentral.
UACGUAGGGUGCGAGCGUUAAUCGGAAUUACUGGGCGUAAAGGGCGCGUAGGCGGCACUGUUAGUCAGGCGUGAAAUUCCUGGGCUCAACCUGGGGACUGCGCUUGAUACGGCAGAGCUAGAGGAUGGAAGAGGCUCGCGGAAUUCCCAGUGUAGAGGUGAAAUUCGUAGAUAUUGGGAAGAACACCGGUGGCGAAGGCGGCGAGCUGGUCCAUUACUGACGCUGAGGCGCGACAGCAUGGGGAGCGAACGGG